AGUUCACAGACUAUGUGAAGACAGGCUCCCUAUUGUACGUACGGAGUUGAAGAUAUAGUCGGUCUCCCCUAUAAGUAGGAUGAGAGAAACGUUGUACACACCGCCCGUCGCUACUACCGAUUGAAUGGCUCAGUGAGGCCUUGGGACUGGCUCAGAGAGGUUGGCAACGACCACUCAGAGCCGGAAACUCGAUCAAACUUGGUCAUUUAGAGGAAGUAAAAGUCGUAACAAGG
Molecule: ribosomal RNA, 233 nt
Filed under: Herpotrichiellaceae sp.
Lineage: Eukaryota; Fungi; Ascomycota; Eurotiomycetes; Chaetothyriales; Herpotrichiellaceae
Description: partial small subunit ribosomal RNA
Rfam family: Eukaryotic small subunit ribosomal RNA (bases 99-233)
Source: RNAcentral